GAUGAACGCUAGCUACAGGCUUAACACAUGCAAGUCGAGGGGAAACGAUAGAGAAAGCUUGCUUUUUCUAGGCGUCGACCGGCGCACGGGUGAGUAACGCGUAUCCAACCUGCCCAUCACUUGGGGAUAACCUUGCGAAAGUAAGACUAAUACCCAAUGAUAUCUCUAGAAGACAUCUGAAGGAGAUUAAAGAUUUAUCGGUGAUGGAUGGGGAUGCGUCUGAUUAGCUUGUUGGCGGGGUAACGGCCCACCAAGGCGACGAUCAGUAGGGGUUCUGAGAGGAAGGUCCCCCACAUUGGAACUGAGACCCGGUCCAAACUCCUACGGGAGGCAGCAGUGAGGAAUAUUGGUCAAUGGGCGAGAGCCUGAACCAGCCAAGUAGCGUGCAGGAUGACGGCCCUAUGGGUUGUAAACUGCUUUUAUAAGGGAAUAAAGUGAGCCUCGUGAGGCUUUUUGCAUGUACCUUAUGAAUAAGGACCGGCUAAUUCCGUGCCAGCCGCCGCAGUAA
Molecule: ribosomal RNA, 508 nt
Filed under: uncultured bacterium
Lineage: Bacteria
Description: partial 16S ribosomal RNA
Rfam family: Bacterial small subunit ribosomal RNA
Source: RNAcentral